UUCUAUUGCCUCAUUUCUAUUAUUUGGGAUUUUUUUUUAAUUAAGGAUAGGAAAAUGCUACAUACCAAGGAUCCUAACAUAUAAAAUGCAAGUAAUAGAAUAUAUACUGUAUUUCUAUUUGUGAAAUAAUGUAUACACACAUAAUUCAGCCUAAUACGUAUAAGGGCUGAUUCCAAAAACAUAAAGGGAUCAAAGAAUAAUUGAUAUAAAGUUUCUGUAGUUUCAGACAGUACUUCUGAGUUUUUGACAGCUGAAAACCUAGUGGAAGCAUCAGUACCUGAGGAUGAAAUUCUAACUGUCAUGAAUAGCAAGCAACUACAGAAAUCAAAUCUGAAUUUAAGUAAGACCCAGCAAUUCAACAUCUGUACACUAUCAGCUGAAGAACAAAAGAUCCUACAAUCCCUUAAUCAUUUGAAUGGAAGGCUACGCUGUAAGUGUGGAAGAAUAUCCUUUGUGGAAAAUGUGGUGUUUUGAAAUUAGACUAUUUUCAUUUUAAUCUUAAUUUAAUUUUUAAAAAUCAAUGUGGCACACAUCUAUAAUCCUAGAGGCUUGGGAGGAUGUGGCAAGAAGAUUGCGAAUUCAAAGCCAGACUCAGGAAAAGCAACUAAGCAAUUCAGUGAGAUUCGUCUCUAAAUAAAAUACAAAAUAGGGCUGGGGAUGUAGCUCAGUAGUCAACUGCCCCUGGGUUCAAUCCCUGGUACCAAAAAUAAAAUAAAAUAAAAAAUAAAAAUGCAACAUCUAUCUAGAUUAAUGGAGUAUAUACAAAUUAAGAAUUUAUCUGAAUGAAAUCAUACUGCUUCAAGUAUACCAUAUCAUUUAUCAUUUAUGAUGAUACCAAAAGCCUUACUGUGUUCGAGAAACAUAUGAACAUGGACAGGCAGGGUACCUAUAUUGACCAUCCAUGAAAACAACUAUAAAUUCUUGAUUAAGUAUUUUAAACUCUAAAUAUAACAAUGAGCUAGCGAGAAUAUAACAAAUUCUCAGAAAUUCGUAAGAACUCAGAAAGAGAAGGAGAAUGCUUCAGUUAGCUUAUAUUCUGAGCAUAUUUAACUCAGGAUAUUUUCAUUUCACAAGUGAAAUCCAAGGAAAAAGAGCAGCCCACAGUAAGACUCAGAGAGUAUAAAAACAACAUAGAGGGGACAGAAGAUGAAACCCAGGGCCCACUGAAGAUUAGUAGUCUCAUAAAAGAGCCUCCCACAUAAAGCCGUACCGUACAAAGAUCUAUGCAUUGCACAUACACAGAAAGGAGGGAAGGGUAAAAAAGAAAAGAAAAAGAAAGAAACUUGUAAUUCUUGAACUUCAGUAUUGAGCAGAUGAGGGGUCAGAGAGAAAUCCAUGAGAAUUUAGAACCACCAUGUAGUAUAACUACCACACAAAUUUACAAGCCAUAUUCACACCACUUGAGUGGUCUUUAAAGUCUCAAACAAAGAAUUUAAUUUAGAAUGACCUCAAUCUAGUAACAGCCCAAAAUAUCUGAAAGAAAAGUAAAUUUGUGUCCCUUGUAGAAACCUACUCAUAUUUUAGUUUUCAAAGAAUUAUCACAAAGAAAAAUAAGCAGCCCACAAUUAAAAAAUAAAUAAAAAUAAGAUAAAAUAACUUGAUCCACAAAGAAAAAGGCACCAUUAAAAAAUCAAAAGAAACCACAAGACCAAAUAAACAGACCCAAACAGUGUUUUAGAUAAUGAUAUUACCAGACACAGGCUAUAACUACAUUUAUAUGUUUUAAAGUAAUCAGAACUGUGUUUAAAAAUCCAGUCAGAGAAUAAGAAAGUAUUAUAAAGAAUGACCAAGCAGAUUUGAAAAAAAAAUGGGCCAAACAGAAUGCCUAGAAAUGAAAAAUAUAAUAAUUGAAAUUCAAAAUUCAGCAGAUUACAGACAUCUGAAGAAAGAAUUAGUAAACUGGAAUAUAAAUCAAAGAAACUUAUCCAGAAUAAAGUACAAAGACACAAAGAGAUGGGAAUUUAAGAGUUUAAAAGACAAAGGAAUAAGAAAGUCUGAAGUAGGCCACAAGCAAUAUGUGAAGUAAUAGCAGCUGGCAAUUUUUCCAAUCUGAUGAACAAUACCAACCUACAAAUUCAAAAACCUAACACAUUUCAGAGUAAAUAAAAAGAAGUCCCCUUGUAUGGUUUCAGUCCCCAGCACAAAGAAAAGAAAUUCUCACCAAGACACAUCACAGUAAAUUUUAAUCAGUAACAAAGAUGGCAGAAAACAUUAAAGAUAUCAGAAGAUAUUAAACAAUGUGUUCAAUGUACUAAACUUAAAAUCUUUCAAGGUGAAAAUGUCUCUCAAAAAUCAGAGCAAAUUAAAAAUAUGUUCAGACAAAAACUUAGUAAAUAGACACUAAGGAAAUUCUAACAAAUGCACUUUAGCAGAUAGAAAUUAAUCUGAGUUAAUUUGAACAAACAUUUUAUUUAAAAAGUAUAACAAAGCAUCAUGUGUUUAAGAUUUAGAAUUAAAAUACCUAUAAAUAUACAUAAGUUGGGAAAACAAAUAGAGGUAAUAUACACUAGGAUUCUUGAUAAGGAAUAGGGUAAAGAUACGGAUUAAGUUUAAAUGCUGAUAAUUGAAAUAUACCUCUAGUAAUUAUUAGAGUGACAUCUAAAAGACUAGAAAUAUAAUAUACAACUUUCAAACUAGUAAGGAAGGGAAAGUGGCAUUCAAAAAAUACUAGAUUAAUCCAAAAUAAAACAAGAAAGAAAAUAAAAACAUAGAAGAGGUAGAACAAAUGGAAAUACUAUCCUAUAAGAUGGUAUGUACAAAUAUAUUUACAAUAUGUGUAAAUGGAUUAAAUGCUACACUUAAAAGACAAAAUUUGUCAAAUGGAAUUUUAUGAUAAAAUUAUAUUCUAUUUCUAAACCACGUAUUCAAAACAUAAGAAUAUAGAAAAACAGAAAACCAAAAAGAUGAAAAAUAUGUAAAAAGCAAAUAAUAACCAAAGCUAGUUUUAAUGUAAUAUUAUCAGACAAAAUUGACUAUACAGUAGAAAGCUAUAUAGACAGAUUACUUCAUGAUGAUCAAAGUUUUAAUAUAGGAGAAAUACAUAAAAUGUUUUAUAUGAAAUUAAGAAUAUAGCCUCAGCAGCACAAUUCACAAUAUCUAAAUUAUGGAACCAACCUAGAUUCCCUCCAGUAUCCAAUGGAUAGGGAAACUUUGGUAUACAUACAUAAUGGAAUAUUACUCAGCAUUAAAAGAGGAUAAAAUCAUGGUAUUUGCAGGUAAAUGGAUGAAGUUGGAGCAUAAAAUGCUAAGUGAAGCAAGCCAAUCCCAAAAAACCAAUGGCCAAAUGUUUUCUUUGAUAUGAGAAUGCUGGCUCAUAAUGGUGAUGGGGCAGGGAGCAAGGGAGGAAUGGAGGAACUCUAUAGAUAGAGCAAAGGGGAGGGAGAGGAAAGGAGGGGAUAAGGAGGUAGGAAUGAUGGUGGAAUGAGUUCGACAUCCUUACCCUAAGUAUAUGUAUAAAGAUAUGAAUGGUGUGAAAGUACUUUGUGUACAAUCUUGACUUGAAAAAUUGUGCUCUAUAUGUCUAAUAUGAAAUGAAUUGCAUUCUGCCAUCAUGUAUAACAAAUUAGAAUAAAUAAAUAAUUUAAUAAAAAAAGAAUAGCCUCAAAUAUGUUUUAAGGCUGGAGGUGUAGCUUGGUGUUGCAGUAUGUAUUUACCGUGCAUAUUUAGCAAGCAUGAAGUUCUGGGUUCAAUCCCCAGCACCAAAAAACAAAUGAAAUAUUUCCAAUGGUAGUAGAAGAUUUUAACCUACCAUUGUCAGUACUUGAUAGAACAAAUAGAAAAAGUACAAUAGAUGUGAAAGAAUUGAACAUAAUUAACAAAUUUGAUCAGAAAGACACAUUUUUCAUAAGCACACACAGAACAUUUAUAAUAUAAAUCACAUAUGAUACCAUAAAAUAAGUUUUAACAGCUUUCAAAGGAUUAGAGUCAUGCAGGCUAUAUCCUGGCUGCAAUACAAUUUAGAUAAAAUCUAAUAACAAAAGUGAACCAUUAAUAACAAAAAGAUUACCAUUAAGAAACAUUUUUACCCCAGUACUGGAGAUUGAAUCCAGAUGCUUUACCAUGGAGCUAAUUCCCAGCCCUUUUUUUUUCUUAUUUUCAAAAAGGCUCUUGCUAAGUUGCUGAGGUUGGUCUCAAACUUGCCCUCAUGCCUCAGCCUCCCUCGUUGCUAAGAUUAUAGGCGUGUAGCACCACUCCUGGCAAGAAACACAUUUUUUUUUAUUCUCAAAAAAUAUAUAUACAUAAUAAAAAUUACAAAAUAUUUACAUGUGAACAAUAAUAAAAAUAUUUUGUGAGUAUUUGUUUUUAUCAGGACCUCUUUACCUAUGCACCAUUGACAUUUUGAAUUCAGUAAUUCUGGUUGUUUUUUAAUGGUACUGGGAAUCAAACCUAGGGCCUCACACAUGCUAUGCAAACACUUUAUCACUGAGUUACAUCCCCAGUCUAAGAAAUGGAUAAUUCUUUAUUGUAGGGGGUAUCUUAUACAUUAUAAAGUGUUUAGCAGCUUAUCUGGUCUCUACCCAUUACAUGACAUAGCACCUCCCAGUCAUGACAACCAAGUGUCUCCAUACAUUGCCAAACGUCCCCUGGAUGGCAAAAAUACCCUAUGGCUGAGAACAUACAAUUAGAAUCCCAAUGUUAAAAGUUACAUCCUUUUUUGUUGGAAAGAAGAACUACUAAUUGCAAAGGAAGUUGGAUUUAGAUACAGUCCCCCUCACUUAAGGUAAAAACCUGCUUUUGAAUUCCAGAUAUCAUAUUGCCAGAAAAGAUAUGAAGAAAUUCUGGGAUUAUUUUCAAAAACAUUGUAAUAACACUAAAUAGCAAGAAAUUAAAUGGAACUUCUAGUGUGUACUAGACAUAAAAAUCAGUUCCAUGUAAUUAAAUAUUAAAUAUAAAAGAAAAUAAAGUUUUUAAGAGAUAAUAAAAUAUUUCUAACCUCAAGAUAAGGAAGGAUUUCUUAAGCACAAGAAAUACAAUCUAUAAAAGAAAAAAAUAAAUCUGACUAUAUUAAAAUCACAAACCUCAUAUCAAAAUACAGUUAAAAGAAUGAAAAAGCCACAAAGUGAUAGAAAAUAUAACAGAGAAUAAAGGACUCAUUUAAACCAUGUGAAGAAUGCCUAUAAGUUAAUGAGGAAAAAAAGACAACCCAGUAGAAAAAUGGAACCAAAAAAGAUUUUGAAUGGGAACUUCACAACAAAGGAAAUGUAAAUAACAAUAAACAUUGAUUUAAAUGCUCAAUUUCACUAGUAAUAGAGAAAUGCAAAUUAAAAUGAUGAGUUCUAGUUACAUAUUCAUCAGAAAGACUGAAGGUUAAAAAACUGAGAAUCCUAUGUAUUGGGAAAGAUGUGCAGCAAUAGCAGCUCUCAUGUAAUACUGUGGGAGGGUAAACUGAUGCAAUCCUUUUAGGAAGUUUUGUCACCAUCUAAGUUAAACAUGAACAUACCUUACAGCCCAGCAAUUUCACUUCUAAAUGUGUAUGCUCUACAGAAAAUCCUGCACAUGCCUGUCAGGAGAUAUAUGUAUAAGAAUGUGGAGAUCAUUAUUUAUAAAAUUCAAAAAUAAAAAAAAUUUAAAGUAUAUUUAUGAUAGAAUAUUAUUCAGCAAGGAAGACAUACAAAUUAUAGCUACACACAUCAUCCUGAUGAAUCUUAAAAUAUAUAAUUUUGAGUUAAAAAACAAAAGAAUAAAUCCAUUACAAAAAUAGUUAAAAAUAAAUUGUUGUUUGGGGGAUGUAUACACGUGCUAAAACAACAAAGCAAGAAACUCAGUAUAGGGUAGUAUGGGGGCAGAGAGCUCCAAGAAGUUUCUUUAAAAAUUUUUAUUUUUUAUUUUUUAGGUAUAGUUGAACACAAUACCUUUAUUUAUUUAUUUUUAUGUGAUGCUAAGGAUCGAACCCAGGGCUUUGCACAUGCUAGGUGAGCACUCUACUGCUAAGCCACAACCCCAGCCCAAGGAAGUUUCUAAAGUAGUGAUCAAUUCAAUAGGUAGUUACACAGACAUUAACUUUAUUAUUAUUAAUUAAAAUAUGCAUAUGUUUUAUAUACUCUGCAUGUUAACUUCAAAAUUAAAACUGAAUUUUAAAAUGAUAUAGAAAGCAGAAAACUAAAACACAAAAACACAGAACUAAGGCUAUCCCUUUAAGAUGUAAAAUUAUGCAGAUAAAGAAUAAAAAACUCAAGUCAAUAACUUGGAGGUUUUAUUUCUAUUAGGUACUCCUAUGCUUAAAUGCUUCACAUAAAAGAUUCUACAUGAAUUAUUUUCUUUUACCCAGAUUCUUCCUAGUGUAUGGACCAAAGCCUAAAGAUUGAAAAAAACCAGAAUUGAUAAAAUUACUCAAAUUUUUGUGCUUCAAUAGCUAAAUAAACAUAUAUUUUUUCCUGAGAAAAAAAAAGUUUCCAAGGAUGAAAUUCCUGUUUUGGUUUAAAAAAAGAAAGAAGACAUAAUAUCUCAAUAAAGACUGAGGGCCAACAGGAAAGAAAAGUCUUACUCAAUUUUGAAUAUUUUGGAAAUUUUGGAAUGUAAUAUUUGAUUCUUUUUUGUAAUAUUUGAUUCUUUAGUCAUUCUUUUCUUUCAGUAAAUGUAAACAAAUUAUUUUUGUGUUAUGGUAUAAUUUUUCAGAUAUGCAAGAAACCAUUUGCCAAAAUCCAUCCAUCAAAAACACUCUACAAAUAAUACCACUUCUGGUAAGUAUUUGAAAAAGCUUUCUUUUUUUUUUUUUUCUUGUUUUAGGAAAUGUCAUGAUUUUCAUGUGUCCAUCAAUAAAGGUAAGAAUCCUUUGUUAGUAUCAGUUUUUCUUGAUACUGAUUUUUAGAGCUUUACUCUCCCAACCAACUCUUUUUAUCAUGUUUCAUUACAAUAAAGCAAAUAUUCUUUCAUUUUGAAAAUCAAAAUAUAAGCCUUUUUAUAUACAGAGUAUUUUAUCAGUCAUGAGAUCAGAAACAAGCAUUAGUGCACCAAUCUUCAAGUAAUUUUAUUUAGUUGUGUAACCUAAUUGAAAAAUUACUAAGAUUACCUUGGUAAUGAUCUGUGUCCUGGCCCAUAUCCCUUCCGUGUCCUCAGAGUUCAAAACUAAACAUUACUAUCUUGAAUCUUUUUUUUUUUUACCUUGGCACUACACUCUGGUAAAUAAAAAUAUUUAAAUAAAAAAUAGUCCCUACAUUCAAGAAUUUGCAGUCAAACGGGGAAAGACAUAUAUUUGUAAUAUAUACAAAUAACUAUAAUACAAGCUAAGACAAAACUACAAAUUUAAGAAACCAAAGAAGGAAAGUAUGUUUAGCUAGAAGUAAUUGGGAGACAAAGGGUGUCCUCAAACUAAGAUAUUACUUAUACUUUCACAAUUCUCAAUUUAGGUAUUCAUUAAAAUAAUGUUUGUUAGAGAAUUAAUUGAAUGCUUAUCUAAUUACUCUUUAUCACGCCCCCUCAGUUCUGAAAACUUAACAGGAAAAAUAAGAUUAUGCAAGUAAAGUUAAAUAUUUCUUAUCCAUGUUUUAGAGUGUUGUUGUGCUCUGGCUAUGAUAGUGAAUGAUAGUAAGAAAGAAGCUAUCUCCGCCCUCUUGAAACUUACCAUUUAACUCUAGAUAUGUAGUUUUUCAAAGCGGCCUUUGGCAUUUUUGAGUUGUGAUUUUUGGACAUAACUCUUUGUCAAUAGUCACUUUAACUUCUGAUAGAUUGUUUUUUCCCAUGACUACUUUUUACAUACUAUCUUAGUUUUUCUCUAAAUUUUUCAUAUCCAGCAAUUUGGUGAUGUUUAUGAUGGUAAUUUUUAUGUGCCUGAGAUUUGGAACAUUUUUUAUCAGUUCUGACACAGUUAUUAUUUAUGAUAAUGAUUCUUAUUUCACUUUAGUGAUAUAAUACUUGUAAUGACUGAGAUCACUCUUUUGUGCACUUCAGCUCAACUUCAGAGUAUGAAUAGUAAGAUACUCUUCAAUAGGGAGAGAAAGUUGUCUAAUCAGAAAGUUACCCUCUUAUACAUUUUAAUUCACUUUGUUAUUAUAUUGCUACAAUAUGUAAUAACUGAAAAGUUAAUGUUGUGCAUUGGGGAACACUGGUAGACUUGAAAUCACUCUUUUAAUUUUUUUAGUUGUAGAUGGACACAAUACCUUCAUUUUAUUUUUAUAUGGUGCUGAGGAUCCAACCCAGUGCCUUCCACAUGCAAGGUGAGCACUCUACCACUGAGCUACAACCCCAGCCCAAAAUCAUUUUUAUCUAACAUCUUUUUCAGUCUUCAUGACAAUUGAUAAUCAUUAACUUUCUUCAGUCUUUAUUGACAAAUUUUUUCUCUCCUUCAUUUUAACAACAGCAUUAACAAUUUAUUUUCAGGGAAAAUGAUACAAAACUAAAGAAUGGUUAACUACCUGUUUAAACAGCUACACCAAAUUUGCUUGGUUUGUCAUAUCUUGCUUGGGGAUUUGGAUAUUUUAUUCUUGUCUUCCCUUUUCCUUAUUUUAAUUUAAUUUAACUUUACUCUUCACCUAGAUUCACCAAAUUAUUGACAUUUUGCCAUACUUGCUUUAUAAAAUGGAUGGAUGGAUGGAUAAAUAAGUAGAAUAGAGGUAGAUACAUAUACACACAGGAAGAUACAUUUUUAUGACUUGUUCAAAAGUAGACUGCAGACAUAAUGAUACUUCCCCUCUAAAUACUUUGGCAUACAUGUUCUGCUAAGAAAAAAGAUAUUCUCCUACAAAACAACAGUAUUGUUAUUAUACCCAAGAAAUCUAAUAUUGAAUACAAUAGUAUUAUCUAAUCCAUUCCAGAUUCAAAAUAUCCCAGUUAUUUGAAUAAAAUGUCCUCUGUGGCCAUUUUAUUUUUCUAAUCCAUGAUCAAACCCAGGAUGAUUCACCAUCACCCCAACAUAUGCACACUUAUUUCAUGGGUAGAGGCCUAUCUCUCCCAUUUUANAUGGGAAAAUCUCCUCAGUAUCUCUUGUAGCAUACCCUACCAUUGCUUAGAGCAAAUCCAAGUCUGAGAUAUUGGAAUAAUAAUAAUUGCAACCCACCUUCUCCGUUCAAUGGUACUCAUAAUCAUUCUAAUAGUAAUAGCAGCUACCCCACAGAGGAAACAGUGCCGAUAACAUAGAACAUGCUAAAUAGGUGUUUGGUAGUAUUAUUGACAUUAUUCUGAUCACCUAACUUGUUUAAAUCACCCCCUAAAAAAGUAAGAUUCCUGAAAGCACUUGAGUGAAAUUUAAGUAGUUACAUAUGUGAGACUUAUAUUUGAGUAUUUUAGUGAAAGUAUUGAAGUGAAAGCAUAACUUUUUCUUGUAAAAAUUGGAAUAAUUCUAACAGCAUUUGUAGUUCCCCCUUCUUUUCCUUGUCCUUCUCACUACACUAUGAAUCUUCCAUUACAGCCGGGCACGUUUAAUAUUUUGUCCAUCACGUUUGCAAUAUCCUGUUCUGCCUCUAUGUUUUUCUCAUGAUUUGCAUAUGUUCAUGCCCAAUUUCUAACUGCACUUUAGUAGUUUAGAUUUGUUUUCUCUCCUUUCCAAAUUCAACUUAUCUAAGAACAAACAUAUAUCUCUUCCCUCAUGAGACCUUCCAUAAUCAAUCUAGUUUAUGAUACUCUCUCACUCCUCUGAACUUAUCAAUACAGCAUCUCAAAUCUUGUAUUUAAACUACACAGGCAUUUUUGUUAGUUGCUUUUCUAAGUGAAUAAUCUUCUUUGGAACUGUGUUCUUGAGGCCUAAAUUGUUUUCCACUUCCCUAAAUGCUUUAUAGAAACAAGCAUAUACAAAAUUUUUAGAAAAUAUUGGUUGACUUUUUAUGAUUUUUUAUAAAUAGAUAAAUUAUCUCCUUUCUUUAGAUUGCAGUAAAAUGCAGUGAUUUACUUGAACUUGGAAUUUUUUUUUCUAAUAGUCUGAAGCAGAGUUUAUACUCCAUAUAAAAUAUCAUUUUUUUUCAAGUACUAGGGAUUGAAUCCAGGAGUGCUCUACCAGUCCUUUUUAUUUUUUAUUCUGAGGCAGGGCUUCAUUAAGUUGCUGACUCUGGCCUCAAAUUUUCAAUUCUCCUGCCUCAGCCUCCUGAGUUGCUGGGAUUAAAAGUAUGAGCCAUUGCACCCAACUCCAAAAUUCUUUAAUGAGUGUCAGUGUUUAAUAAAUUAAUACUAUUUAGUGGCAAGUGGAUAUUGUUGAGAUAUAAUUAGAAGAAAGGAAACUUAAACUUACUGGGUUUCUACCAUUGAAAAGUGCUAUGCUACAUGGUUUCCCCCUUAUUCUGAAUCAAAUGAGCUACAGACAUCAGGUAGUUUUCCCAAGGUCCCAGAGAUGUUCAGUGAUAGAGCCAGGAAUUAAACUUGUCUCUCUUUCCCAUAAAAUCUGUUCUAGUUUUUUUUAAUAAUCCUUAUUUCAAUUAAUGAUAUCAUCUUCCAUCAAAUUUCCCAGACAGAAAUAUUUGUCUAACCAGGCUUCUCAUUCUCCAUUACCCAAAGUCUUUAAGUAUUUCCAAUCAUAUUCACUAAAUAUACCUCAAAUACAUUCCUUUCUUUCCAAAUGUGACAGUGUACUGGUUUAAGAAUUUAUCAUGUUCACAAUAAUAUAUACUUUAUGAUCAAUAGAAGAACUGGAAGGCUCCAAAAACAAAGUAAUAAGAAGAAGAUGGAAAUAUUACCUUGUUUUGAUCAUUACAUUGCAACAUAUAAAUAACAUAUAAAUAACAUAUAAAUAACACACAAUGUCUGUUAUGCCGCAGUCCGGCUGCAGCAAAAUAACGGGGGGGGGGGGGGGGGGGGGGGGGGGGUGACGAGGAAAUUGUGUAGAUUGAUAGAGCAGGAGAGGGAGCCGUUUAUUGUAGGACCGGAGGGGUAUUUAUACAUUCCACACAGCUUAUCUUAUUUAACAUAAACUAGAUACAGCAGUCAACCAAUAAGGAAUCUCCACACUUUGGCGUUACUUCACAAACCACUCCCUCUGCAAAAUGCCAGGCGCCAUCUUGACUUGUUUACAGACUCUAACACUCUUAAAUAUGUAUAAAUGUUAUGUGUUAAUGAAAAUCUUCUAAGUUUAAGGAAGGCUGAAAGUAUACUCGUGGUAUAGCACUUGCCUAGCAUGCACAAUGUAUACAUAUUGCAUACACAUAUCAAAGUAUCACACUGUUCCUCAUAAAUAUUUACUAUUUAGAUAAUCAAUUUUUUAAAGGAAUUUAUCAUGUUUAAUCUGAACCAUUUCAACUGCCACCAGCUUUGCUCUCUUAAGUGCAUCUUUCAUACCACCAUCACCAGAAUAAUCUCUCCAGCUUAAAAUUUAACUUCAGUUGUUACCUGUUACCUAAAAGAUAAAUUAAAAUUCCAGAGAAAUGCAUUCAACACCCAUCCAGCCUUACCUCUGGUUGCUCCCCAUCUUAUGACUUACCUUCUGUUGAAUAGUUGGCAAGUCUCCCCAUAACUCCUUGCAAGCUUUCAGGACCCAUGCUGUUCCCACUGCCUCACAGACCUUGUUAUCUGCUUUUCUACUACCUACUCUUCAGGACUUGGCCCCAGUGUCAUCCAUCUGGGAAGGCUUUUUCAGUCCAACCUUUGUCCUGCCCCAAAAUUUAGAAUUUCCCCCUGUUGACAGCCAUUCAGCCUGACCUUUUCUUUUUGUAGAAGCUACCAUAUUAGUUCAUUUUAUUCAUUGAACAGAUACUGUCUGAGUACUUCCCAUGUAUUGGGCAUUCUGCUAGGACUGCAAAUAGAGGAAGAGUAACCUGCAUUCUAAUAGGGGCAACAUGAAAACAUUACAGUGUAAUAGGAUUGUUGCAAGGGCAACCUCAAAACUCCUGCCACUGCCAUUAUAAAUUUCAAAGUAUAAAAUUCUUAGAAGAAUUUUCAUUUUAAAUCAUUUUACUUACUUUUUUAAUAAAUAAAUGUAAUAAAUUUUUAGCAAUUCCCUCUCAAGCAACGUACUUCUUUAGCCCAAAGUAUAUUAUUAAACACUCUUAGGAUCUUAUGUGGGUUCUAAGUGCUUCCUGUAGAAAAUAAAAUUAUUAAACUUUGACCAUUUUCUUUAUUUUUUAUUAAGAGAGAGAGAGAGAGAGAGAAAAUUUUUUAAUAUUUAUGUUUUAGUUUUCAGUGGACACAAUAUCUUUAUUUUAUUUUUAUAUGGUGCUGAGAAUCGAACCCAGUGCCCCGUGCAUGCCAGGCAAGCGCAUUACUGCUUGAGCCACAUCCCCAGCCCCAAACUUUGACCAUUUUCACAGCAGAUUAUAUUAAGCACUUCUUAAAUAAAUGUUACCAGUAGCAAAGUAUGAAGAUCAUGGAUUAUUAUAAUUAAUAUGAUGCCUUAUGUAAUUACUUUGUUGAGAAUGAUAUGUAAAUGGGGUUUAGAAUUUGAAUUAUGAGCAUAGUCUUAUUAAAAUCUGUACUCUAUAAAGAGAUUUACUUGUCGAAGUCUGUGAAUACUUUAGUAAAGGAAUAUUCUGAAACUAUGUUACAGAACAGCCUGCCAAGACCUCGACCAUCUCCUGAUGUUGGAUCCAGAUUGCAAAGAAAAUAUUGAUGAAGUGUGACAGCAACUAUUUAAUGAAAUCAUUAUUUUUGAGAAUCUCCUGUAAAUAUAUAUUUCUGCAUUUAUUAAUGAUUCAAAACACUAUAAUCAUAAAAAUGAAGUAUAAUAUAGGUAAUGGAGAUAAAUUGAUCAGUUUAAGUUUAUGCUAUAAAUUAUACUUUAUUAUGUAUUUUAUUGGUGAAUACAUUUUUAAUGAAUGGAAAUAUUUCAUUGUUUUCAACAAGCAUGCUACUGUAUAUAAAUUAAUUCUAUUUAAAAAUAAAAAAGAGGCUAUUUUGUUAUUCCAAUUAUGCAUUAGUUGUAGUUAUGAAGCUUUGUUUUCUGAAAUUCCUAAUAAAUUCUAUUAAAUUUGUAUGGUGGUAUUAAAAAGUCUAUGAUUGAUAACAUCUUACAUAAAUAAUACAGCUAUUUGUUUACGAUAUUAC
This 12897-nucleotide long non-coding RNA is filed under the name Marmota monax (woodchuck). Lineage: Eukaryota; Metazoa; Chordata; Mammalia; Rodentia; Sciuridae. The record is from RNAcentral.